Molecule: ribosomal RNA, 523 nt
Filed under: Clavispora lusitaniae
Lineage: Eukaryota; Fungi; Ascomycota; Pichiomycetes; Serinales; Metschnikowiaceae
Description: partial large subunit ribosomal RNA
Rfam family: Eukaryotic large subunit ribosomal RNA
Source: RNAcentral
UGCCCCAGUAACGGCGAGUGAAGCGGCAAAAGCUCAAAUUUGAAAUCCUGCGGGAAUUGUAAUUUGAAGGUUUCGUGGUCUGAGUCGGCCGCGCCCAAGUCCAUUGGAACAUGGCGCCUGGGAGGGUGAGAGCCCCGUAUGGCGCACGCCGACUCUUUGUACACCGCGGCUCCGACGAGUCGAGUUGUUUGGGAAUGCAGCUCUAAGUGGGUGGUAAAUUCCAUCUAAAGCUAAAUAUUGGCGAGAGACCGAUAGCGAACAAGUACAGUGAUGGAAAGAUGAAAAGCACUUUGAAAAGAGAGUGAAACAGCACGUGAAAUUGUUGAAAGGGAAGGGCUUGCAAGCAGACACGGUUUUACCGGGCCAGCGUCGAAAAGGGGGGAGGAACAAGAACUCGAGAAUGUGGCGCGCACCUUCGGGCGCGCGUGUUAUAGCUCGUGUUGACGCCUCCAUCCCUUUUCGAGGCCUGCGAUUCUAGGACGCUGGCGUAAUGGUUGCAAGCCGCCCGUCUUGAAACACGGAC